Molecule: unclassified non-coding RNA, 345 nt
Filed under: soil metagenome
Description: partial contains 5.8S ribosomal RNA, internal transcribed spacer 2, and large subunit ribosomal RNA
Rfam family: 5.8S ribosomal RNA (bases 1-120)
Source: RNAcentral
GAUGAAGAACGUAGCGAAAUGCGAUAAGUAAUGUGAAUUGCAGAAUUCAGUGAAUCAUCGAAUCUUUGAACGCACAUUGCGCCCGCUGGUAUUCCGGCGGGCAUGCCUGUUCGAGCGUCAUUUCAACCCUCAAGCUCUCCGGAGUUUGGUGUUGGGGAUCGGCGAGCCUCCGCGCCCGCCGUCCCCUAAAUCUAGUGGCGGUCUCGCUGUAGCUUCCUCUGCGUAGUAGCACACCUCGCACUGGGAAACAGCGCGGCCACGCCGUUAAACCCCCAACUUCUGAACGUUUGACCUCGGAUCAGGUAGGAAUACCCGCUGAACUUAAGCAUAUCAAUAAGCGGAGGA